Molecule: ribosomal RNA, 459 nt
Filed under: uncultured bacterium
Lineage: Bacteria
Description: partial 16S ribosomal RNA
Rfam family: Bacterial small subunit ribosomal RNA
Source: RNAcentral
CCUACGGGAGGCAGCAGUGAGGAAUAUUGGUCAAUGGUCGGGAGACUGAACCAGCCAAGCCGCGUGAGGGAUGAAGGUACAGAGUAUCGUAAACCUCUUUUGUCAGGGAACAAAGGCGGGGACGUGUCCCCGGAUGAGUGUACCUGAAGAAAAAGCAUCGGCUAACUCCGUGCCAGCAGCCGCGGUAAUACGGAGGAUGCGAGCGUUAUCCGGAUUUAUUGGGUUUAAAGGGUGCGCAGGCGGCUUGUUAAGUCAGCGGUAAAAGCCCGGGGCUCAACCCCGGCCCGCCGUUGAAACUGGCAGUCUCGAGUUGGAGAGAAGUAUGCGGAAUGCGCGGUGUAGCGGUGAAAUGCAUAGAUAUCGCGCAGAACUCCGAUUGCGAAGGCAGCAUGCCGGCUCCACACUGACGCUGAGGCACGAAAGCGUGGGUAUCGAACAGGAUUAGAUACCCUUGUAGUC